RNAcentral lists this long non-coding RNA (1645 nucleotides) under Homo sapiens (human). Its description in RNAcentral is "HSALNT0058518". The record is from RNAcentral. Lineage: Eukaryota; Metazoa; Chordata; Mammalia; Primates; Hominidae.
GCGGCUUUUGUACCCAGUUGCUUCCUGGCUGCUUUACGGUCGAUUUGCAGGCAGUCCGCUUUGUACAAGCCAUGGUAUAGAGGCUUCCUUAUUUACCUCCCUUAUCCUUCAGCUGGAGCUCUGCGAGCCAGAGGCAGCGCUGGCGUUGGAGAGUGAUGGCGGCAUGGCGGUGCGGCGGCGGCUGCGAACACCUUGAGGACGGGUCGCAUUAUGUUGCCCAGGCUGGACUUGAACUUCUGGGCUCGAGCAAUUCUCCCACCUCAGCCUACCAAGCAGCUGGGACUACAGGUCUGCACCACUGCACCCCACCCAUUCAAGUCCACAUCCCCAGAAACGAGGAUAAUGCUUGGCACAAGGUGUUUAUAAUUCCCUUGGUUUUCUUCACAAUUUCACCACAUAAAUGUUUUGAUGACAAGCUUAAAAAAUUUUUUGCUGAGUGGCUGGCAAGAUGGCCCAAUAGGAACAGCUCCAGCCUGCAGCUCCCAGUGAGAUCAACGCAGAAGUGGUGCCUGGAAUGCCAGAGAGACAGAACCAUUCACUCCCUGGAAAGGGGGCUGAAACCAGGGAGCCAAGUGGUCUAGCUCAGUUGAUCCCACCCCCAUGGCGCCCAGCAAGGUAAGAUCCACUGGCUUGAAAUUCUCGCUGCCAGCACAGUAGUCUGAAGUUGACCUGGGACACUUGAACUUGGUAGGGGGAGGGACAUCCAUCAUUACUGAGGCUUGAGUAGGCGGUUUUCCCAUCACAGUGUAAACAAAGCUGCCUGGAAUUUCAAACUGGACGGAGCGCACUGCAGCUUGAGAAAGCCGCUGUAGCCAGAUUGCCUCUCUAGAUUCCUUCUCUCUCUAGGGCAUCUCUGAAAGAAAGGCAGAAGCCCCAGUCAGGGGCUUAUAUAUAAAACUCUCAUCACCCUGGGACAGAGCACCUGGGGGAAGGGGCAGAUGUGGGCACAGCUUCAGCAGACUUGAACGUUCCUUCCCGCCAGCUAUAAAGAGAGCAGUGGAUCUCCCACCACAGAGCUCUGCUAAGGGACAGACUGCCCCCUCACGUGGGCCUCUGGCCCCCGUGCCUCCUGACUGGGAGAUACCUCCUAGCAGGGGUCAACAGACAUCUCAUACAGGAGAGCUCUGGCUGGCAUCUUGGGGGUGCCCCUUUGGGACGAAGCUUCCAGAGGUAGGAACAGGGAGCAAUCUUUGCUGUUCUGCAGUCUCUGCUGGUGAUACCAGAACAGGGCCUGGAAUGGACCUCCAGCAAACUCCAGCAGACCUGCAGCAGAGAGGCCUGACUGUUAGAAGGAAAACUAACAAACAGAAAGGAAUAGCAUCAACAUCAACAAAAAGGACAUCCACACAAAAACCCCAUCUGAAGAUCACCAACAUCAAAGACCUAACGAAGAUGAAUCCACAAAAAUGAGGAAAAACCAGUGCAAAAAGGCUGAAAAUUCCAAAAACUAGAAUGCCUCUUCUCCUCCAAAAGAUCACCACUCCUCGCAGGAAGGGAACAAAACUGGAUGGAGAAGGAGUUUGAUGAAUUUUGAUAUUACCUACCUUCAGAAGGUAGGUAAUAACAAACUCUUCUGAGCUAAAGGAGCAUGUUCUAACCCAAUGUAAGGAAGCUAAGAACCUUGAAAAAAGGUUAGAUGAAUUGC